AGGCCAAUGAUGAGUUAUAUUUUAGUUGGAAUUACCGGCUGAAAUUAUAUCAUUUGAUGACAUUUUUAUUCUGAGGCCUUAU
This is a non-coding RNA of Picea glauca (white spruce), 82 nucleotides long. NCBI's taxonomy places the organism in Eukaryota, Viridiplantae, Streptophyta, Pinopsida, Pinales, Pinaceae. The record is from Rfam.